CUUUUUUAUCUACCCAGAAUCAUUUUUGUUAGCACUGGGACCACCAUUGGACGAUAGUAUGUACUUAACGCGAUGACGUGUCUAAAUACGUGUGUGCCUUCAGAAAUGCGUUUUUUAUACAUAUAUAUUUUAAAAAGUAGAAGAAAAUCAAAACGAGUAGAUGAUAAAUCCAACGAUGAUCACCUAUAACAAAAAGAAAACUAUAUUAAUAUGCAAUCAAGAGUAAUAUAAUGGCCUGACAUAUAAAUCGUCCAAUUCGCAGAUGCACUUUUCAAUUGAAUACUCUAUUUACUUUUAUCAAAUCUCUAUUAUCUCAUGUAAUGAAAAUUAAUUUUAAACACGUGAUUUUACAUUUACAUAAAAUAUAUAAAAAUAAAGAAAUAGGAAAAGUACAAAUAUUAAGUUACUACAAAAAAUAAUGUCUCGGUACUAAAAUAACGUUAUACUAAAGUGUAUUAAUUUUCAAUAAAAUCAUUGAUGUAACUU
This is a long non-coding RNA of Polistes canadensis, 486 nucleotides long. RefSeq lists it as uncharacterized. The record is from RefSeq and is a predicted model, not a curated record. Lineage: Eukaryota; Metazoa; Arthropoda; Insecta; Hymenoptera; Vespidae. The transcript is spliced from 2 exons.